Long non-coding RNA from Brassica oleracea var. oleracea, 1905 nucleotides. RefSeq lists it as uncharacterized. The record is from RefSeq and is a predicted model, not a curated record. The transcript has 2 exons. Lineage: Eukaryota; Viridiplantae; Streptophyta; Magnoliopsida; Brassicales; Brassicaceae.
AACGACUGAUUGAAAAAGCUGAAUCCAAACGAUUCCCUUUCCAAUUCCCCGACGACGUUACAAUCUGCAGUUAUGGCCUUCAGGAAACAAACCCCACAAUCACCUUUGUAUCUUCAAUACGUUGUUCUCAGUUUAUAAUAUAAACCUUCCCAGUUGCCUCUCCAAUUUCCUUCGGAUUCAUCUCCACUUUUACUCUUAGACAAGCUUUCCCUAAUGACAAUUUCGCAGCCUCAAUUAUCCAGAAGGCAGGCAGCCCGGAAUUAUCCAUAUGCUGCUGCUAGAUUCCAAGGUUAAGCUUGGAUACGUUUUAUGUGAUCAGUUUGUUCGUGAAAGGAAUGUGAGCUUACACCUCCAGUCACGGGCAUAUUAAAAUUUACUCUCUUUUACAUGUUUAUCUAAACAGUUUUGCAAAGAAAUUUUUAAAGACCCAAUUCUCUCUUCUCCGGUUGCAACCAAAGGCAUAAGCGUCAACGAACUUGUGACAUGGAUGGUUUUUGGAGAGGUGAGAUGACCGACCGAAGCGUUGUUGGUUGGAUUCUUAGGGAUGGGAAGGGAGAAAUGAAGUGUCUUAGAGAAGCCUCAUCUAUUUCGAGGUCCUUUACUGACUUGUGAGAUGAAGCAGAAGCAUUGAUAUGGAGUGUUAUUUGUAUAAUUGGGCUAUAAGAAAUUCUGAAUUUUACCACCUUGGCUCUGACCAAUCUGAAGUUAGGGGUCAGCUAUUUCAAGGAAAGUGACAUCUCAUAAUUCAAUUUAUACUUUUGUUUGCUUAGCGUGUAAGGAUAUUGAUGAACUGCAGCAGAAAACGGAGAUUUUAGUAAGCAUCGCAGAUGGAUUCUGUUAAUGGUGUGAGUUUCGAGUUCGGCGAAGCAAAUGGUUUACUCUAAAAGUUUGCGGGAGAAAAGCCUAUGUAAAAGUCACUGGAAUCUCUUAAAGCAGAACUGAAGAAUGUCAAGAGAUAGCACUGUGGAGUUGAAGCGAAGGAGGCUGAAAUCGAAUAAGUGGUUAGAGAUCUCCAUCCGGAGCGUAGCAAAAGUGAGACUGACCUAGAACAAUGUGUGGCAGAAAAAUCUGAAGCAAACGCCGCUUACGAAGAUAUGAUGUCAACCUUAAAUCAGAUAUCUUCGAGAUAGAAGCUGCUCGACGAGAAGUUGAGCUACAUUUUGAAGGUCGCACCAGAUAAAGUCGAGGAAGCAAAAGCUGCCGAGGUAUGUGCUUGACCACAUAAAGUCAAUGUCUGAAAAUUCAACAGUUGCCCGAAUUUGUAAUACCGCGCCAUCUGAGUGUGGAGCUAAGAGCAUCACACUAUGUCAGGAGGAUUUUAAGUCGCUGAGCGAAGGAGCUAAGCUAUUCGAUAAGUUGGUGAAUAUGAAAGUGGUAAAUAUGAAAGUGGCAGCUGCGCUGGCUCAGGUAGGCGCAGUUAGAGCUAGCGAAAUCAAGACACUGAAAAAGUUUGAGGCACACAAGAGGAGAUUGAGAAGCUAAAGACUGCGACAGAAGACACACUGGAUAAAGAGUAUGCAGUUGAAGGAGAACUCGGGAGGUGUCAGGUAAGAUAUCUGAAUAAAGCACAGAGGAAGCAGCUUCGAGGAUUAUUGCAGAGGCUGAGGCGAUGAUUCUGCUGAAUCAUCACCACAAAGUCACUACAAAGCUACGAAACGUAAACAAAUCCACACAAACUCGAGAAGACAAAAACUUUUGUGGUAUAUAAAACUGGUUUUACCGAAUUUAAGUGUAAUAGUUAAUAGAAAUAAGAAUCAAGUGGAAUGGAGUUCUCCUUAUCUCUAUGGAGAGAAACCCUUUUUGAUGUAUACUUUCUUUUUAAGAGCUGAGAACUUUCGUUGUGGUGAACUUUUCGUUGAUGUAUACGUUUGGUCUUUAAUGUGAAAACUGGUUUGUUGCUGUAAA